Molecule: non-coding RNA, 755 nt
Organism: Ictidomys tridecemlineatus (thirteen-lined ground squirrel)
Lineage: Eukaryota; Metazoa; Chordata; Mammalia; Rodentia; Sciuridae
Source: RefSeq, a predicted model, not a curated record
UGAGCUUUUCCUUUAAUGCUUUGCCACCUCCAGGAAUUUGCCUGUCAUCUCACUACCCCAAAUUGUAUCUCCAGCCAAGAAACUCUUGCCAAAUUCGUGGCCUUAAUUUCCUAUUUAAAUUCUCUUCCUGCCCCCCUCCAUUCUACCUUAAGAGUGCCAAGACAUUUAAAUCUAUUAUGAAUAUGUCAUUUUAAUGUCCCAAUCCCUUUCAUCAUACAUGGUGGCAUCCCCUCAUCUUUAUCGUUCGCCAACAAAGAAAUGAAUGGGGUGGAGGACAUGGGAUACAUUUCUGUAUUGCCACCUUACAAAAUUUUCACUGGAAUGGUUCAAAUGCAUGUUCUUCAUGACCUUGUGGAUAUCUUAACAUCAAAGUGAAGAUCAAAAAUUCUGUUUCCAGGCACAGCAGUGCACGCUUGUGAUCCCAGCAACUCAAGAGGCAGAGGCAGGAGGAUUGCAAAUUUCAGGGUCUCGCUAUGUUGCCACCCUGGUCUUGAACUAGGUUCCUGCACUCCUCCCAUCUCAAGUCUCCUGAGUAGCUGGGACUAUAGGACACCAGCCUGACCCCAAAGGCCUGAAGAAGAGUGGGCAUAAUUGCCAUGAUGGGACAAUCACCAGCAGCUACCUUAUAAGGCACUAGAAAAGAUCCCCCAAAUGAAUUAGCGUAGAAGUGACCUGUAAGUGCUGAGUGACAAUACCAUCCCUCAGAGCAUCAAAAGCAUUGUCAAGACCCAAACACCUUGUCAAGAUGAAGUCAU